GGCAGCCAUAUCACCCUGCAGCCCAAGACUGGUUGCCCACUGAAGCUAAGCAGGGCUGAGCCUGGUCAGUACCUUUUCCCUCGGCAUCCAGGCCAAAUUUGCCC
Molecule: ribosomal RNA, 104 nt
Filed under: Sinocyclocheilus anshuiensis
Lineage: Eukaryota; Metazoa; Chordata; Actinopteri; Cypriniformes; Cyprinidae
Source: RNAcentral